RNAcentral lists this long non-coding RNA (603 nucleotides) under Trifolium pratense (red clover). RNAcentral describes it as "long non-coding RNA (TPRA_LNC009962)". The record is from RNAcentral. Lineage: Eukaryota; Viridiplantae; Streptophyta; Magnoliopsida; Fabales; Fabaceae.
UCAUGUCAUCAAAACUACUAAUAAUACUUAUUUUUCCUCCAAGGCCGUCCAUGCACACCACUCAAAUAAUAAAAAAUAUUGCUAAUGAAAAGAAUAAAAACAAUUUAUCAUCUUUGAGGAAAUUUAAAAAACAAAAACUGAAUAUAAUCAAAUGACAGCAACCUCAGUCCAAUGUAUAUAGCCUGUAGAAUGGUUGUCAAGCUUGUGCACAAUAAUAACAAAACAUAAGACUCAGGGAGGCUUUAUUGAUUGAUUAUUAAAUAGAAUACAUGGCACUACAGCCCUUACAGGUAGCAACAUGUAUUCACAACCUGCUAAGAUGUUUCAUCAGAAUAAUAUUUACACAUGAACUAGGAACGGAAAAAGAACAUAAUCACCAACUACCUAACAUAGUACAAUGUCCCUACCCUCAUAUCCCCUACGUUAGAUUGUCAAACGACUUGUGUAUUCGCUAGAAUAGCACUAAUUGUUCGUACAGAAUCUAACGUCAAAGGGGAUUUCAAAGUAAAAUAUGCUAAUAAAAUAUGUUAAAUAAAGAAACCAUAAUAACAACAGAAAUUAUAACUAGCCUUAAAUCCAACUCUGGGGCAUGGUGUUGUAACC